This 925-nucleotide ribosomal RNA is filed under the name uncultured Microbacteriaceae bacterium. Its description in RNAcentral is "bacterial SSU rRNA". It matches the Rfam family "Bacterial small subunit ribosomal RNA", at positions 56 to 992 of the family's 1533-position model. The record is from RNAcentral. Lineage: Bacteria; Bacillati; Actinomycetota; Actinomycetes; Micrococcales; Microbacteriaceae.
UGCAGUCGAACGAUGAAGCUGGAGCUUGCUCUAGUGGAUUAGUGGCGAACGGCUUAGUAACACGUGAGCAAUCUGCCCUUGACUCUGGGAUAACUGCGGGAAACUGUAGCUAAUACCGGAUACGACACCUUGGGGCAUCCCGAGGUGUGGAAAGAAUUUCGGUCAAGGAUGAGCUCGCGGCCUAUCAGCUUGUUGGUGAGGUAAAAGCUCACCAAGGCGACGACGGGUAGCCGGCCUGAGAGGGUGACCGGCCACACUGGAACUGAGAUACGGUCCAGACUCCUACGGGAGGCAGCAGUGGGGAAUAUUGCACAAUGGGCGAAAGCCUGAUGCAGCAACGCCGCGUGAGGGAUGAAGGCCUUCGGGUUGUAAACCUCUUUUAUCAGGGAAGAAGCGAAAGUGACGGUACCUGAAGAAAAAGCACCGGCUAACUACGUGCCAGCAGCCGCGGUAAUACGUAGGGUGCAAGCGUUGUCCGGAAUUAUUGGGCGUAAAGAGCUCGUAGGCGGUUUGUCGCGUCUGCUGUGAAAAUCCAAGGCUCAACCUUGGACCUGCAGUGGGUACGGGCAGACUAGAGUGCGGUAGGGGAGAUGGGAAUUCCUGGUGUAGCGGUGGAAUGCGCAGAUAUCAGGAGGAACACCAAUGGCGAAGGCACAUCUCUGGGCCGUAACUGACGCUGAGGAGCGAAAGCGUGGGGAGCGAACAGGAUUAGAUACCCUGGUAGUCCACGCCGUAAACGGUGGGUGCUAGUUGUGGGCCACAUUCCACGUGGUCCGUGACGAAGUUAACACAUUAAGCACCCCGCCUGGGGAGUACGGUCGCAAGACUAANACUCAAAGGAAUUGACGGGGGCCCGCACAAGCGGCGGAGCAUGCGGAUUAAUUCGAUGCAACGCGAAGAACCUUACUAAGGCUUGACAUAUGGA